CCCAAAUUUGUACUUGAUCUGAGUUUUGUGGUAAUAAGCAUUGUGUAUAAGUUUCAUUAAAUUUGGUUGAGGCAAACUAAAGUAAGAGAACGAAAACUAAAAAUUCAGUAAUUUUUCCAUUUGUAAAGGGGCAUAACUCUAGAACGGUAAAAGUGACGCCACCCAAAUUCAAACUUGAUCUGUGUAUUGUGGUAAUAAGCAUUGUGUAUAAGUUU
Molecule: long non-coding RNA, 215 nt
Organism: Mytilus californianus (California mussel)
Lineage: Eukaryota; Metazoa; Mollusca; Bivalvia; Mytilida; Mytilidae
Exons: 2
Source: RefSeq, a predicted model, not a curated record